This is a long non-coding RNA of Ornithodoros turicata, 336 nucleotides long. RefSeq lists it as uncharacterized. The transcript is spliced from 2 exons. The record is from RefSeq and is a predicted model, not a curated record. NCBI's taxonomy places the organism in Eukaryota, Metazoa, Arthropoda, Arachnida, Ixodida, Argasidae.
GCACGCAUUUGUAGCACCCAUAGAGUGGCGCCUGCGUCAGUCUGCCGCUGGCUCUCGUGGAGUGUGGAAGUGCCCAGUCGGUCGCUUCGCCGUCACCGCGCCAUGUCAGUUGAGGCUUGGCUGUCAACGGGAGCGGACGCUCUGUCUACGGAGGGAAAGAGCGAUGACGGUGGCGCCAUCUGGUGUGAUGUCAACUAGGUGGUCACCUGUCGUCGAUCUCUGCAACUACUGGCCGUCAACGAGCAACAUGGUGGACGCUGGUCACUCAGGUGUUCCGGAGCAGUUUCUUCGACAUGGCAUCGUUGAUUUUCGAAUAAAUUGUUUCUCUCCACUCUA